Molecule: RNA transcript, 5125 nt
Organism: Symphalangus syndactylus (siamang)
Lineage: Eukaryota; Metazoa; Chordata; Mammalia; Primates; Hylobatidae
Gene: BLOC1S3
Gene name: biogenesis of lysosomal organelles complex 1 subunit 3
Source: RefSeq, a predicted model, not a curated record
AACAUCUUCUGCCCUUACUGCCGUCUCUUCCCUAUUUCCGGGUUCUCGAGCAUUUCUAUUGGCCAAAUUACUGGUUACACGUGACAUACUCGGCUUUUAAAAUCCCUAUUUGUCCACUCCAAGACUUUCCUCGUCGCACAACCUGGAAGAGCCGGCCCAGCCGCUUCUCUAUUGGCGGUUCCUCCAUUCAUGUGACUCUUCCGCACACGCCCUCAAAGCUGAGGCUGAGAACUUGCUUCCUGAUUGGUAGCCGAGCGAAUCCACGUGACUUGGCCGCUAAUGCCCGCCCAACCCGCUCCCCUAUUGGUUGAGAACGCAGCCCUUCAGCUGCCACGGUGAGAACGCAGCACUCGGGCUACGAAGCGGAUCUCGCAGGCUCGGAGUGUCAGCUGCCGGUUCGGCGCCAUGGCGUCCCAGGGUCGUCGGCGGAGGCCGGAGACGGUGGUGCCGGGGGAGGCGACCGAGACGGAUUCCGAGCCCUCUGCGUCCUCGUCAGAGGAGGAGGAGCUGUACCUGGGUCCUUCGGGCCCGACGCGCGGCCGCCCCACGGGGCUGCGGGUGGCUGGGGAGGCCGCGGAGACCGACUCGGACCCGGAGCCGGAGCCGACGGCCGCGCCGAGGGACCUGCCUCCACUCGUGGUGCAGCGGGAAUCGGCGGAGGAGGCCUGGGGUGCGGAGGAGGCCCCGGCGCCCGCCCCCGCGCGCUCGCUCCUGCAACUUCGGCUGGCUGAGAGCCAGGCGCGGCUGGACCACGACGUGGCGGCCGCCGUGAGCGGUGUGUACCGCCGUGCGGGCCGCGACGUGGCCGCCCUGGCUAGUAGGCUGGCGGCAGCCCAGGCGGCGGGGCUGGCGGCGGCCCACAGCGUGCGCCUGGCGCGCGGGGACCUUUGUGCGCUGGCCGAGCGUCUGGACAUCGUGGCUGGCUGCCGUCUGCUGCCGGACAUCCGCGGCGUGCCGGGGACCGAGCCUGAGCAAGACCCGGGGCCGCGGGCCUAGCCAUGAUUCUACUUCCCAGCUUGACUCUGCAAUUUGGGGUGAACAAUGUGGCAUGCUGUAUGCGCAGGGACGCUUGAGGAAGCCGCUCGACUGUGAGAACGUCGCCAGAGUGAAACCGAGUCCUAGCCCACCCGGCACCUCUUCCUCCAACUCUUUACUGCCCUCUGUUGGAAAACCCGCAUAAUAUACAAAGGAGUCUCUCUCUGUGGCCACCACUGCUCCGGGCCCAUGGCGGGUACUGCCUGGCUACCGCUGAUGUUCACUCAAGGCCCAAGCCCUCUUCAGUCAGCUUGUGAUGGAGUCUCACUGUGUCGCCCAGACUGGAGUGCAGUGGCGUGAUCUCGGCUCACUGCAAUCUCUGCCUCCCCGGUUCAAGCAAUUCUCCUGCCUCAGCCUCCCGAGUAGCUGGGAUUACAGGUGCUGGCCACCACACCUGGCUGAUUUUUGUUUUGCCUUUUUUUUUUUUUUUUCGAGAUAGAGUUUUGCUCUUGUUGUCUAGGCUGGAGUGCAAUGGUGUGAUCUCGGUUUACUGCAACCUCCGCCUCCUGGGUUCAAGUGAUUCUCCUGCCUCAGCCUCCCGAGUAGCUGGGAUGACAGGCACCCGCCAUCACGCCCCAGCUAAUUUUUUUGUAUUUUCAGUAGAGACAGGGUUUCACCAUGUUGGCCAGGCUGGUCUUGAACCCCUAACCUCAGGUGAUCCAUGUGCCUCAGCCUCCCAAAGUGCUGGGAUUACAGGUGUGAGCCACUGCGCCCUGCCAAAUGAGCCCAUGAUUGGGUAGAGUUUCUCAACUAGUUGCAUUCAGAUGGCAGCUGGGCUGGAAAUCCAAGAUGGCAUCUUACAUGUCUGACAUCUCAGUUGGGAUGGCUAGAUCAGCUGCGGCUGACCAGUUAUCUGUCUCUCUCUCCAUGCAGCCUCUUGCCAUGCCCAGCUUCAGCUUCUGCAUAGCAUGGCAGUCUCAGGAUAUUCAGAAUUUUUUUUUUUUUUUCCCAGAUGGAAUCUCACUCUGGCACCAAGGCUAGAGUGCAGUGGCACUGCAACCUCCACCUCCAGGGUUCAAGCGAUUCUCGUGCCUCAGCCUCCUGAGUAGCUGGGAUUACAGGCAUGCAUCACCAUGCCUGGUUAAUUUUUUUGUAUUUUUAGUAGAGACAGGGUUUCUCCAUGUUUGCUAGGCUGGUCUCAAACUCCUGACCUCAUGUAAUCCCCCCGCCUUGGCCUCCCAAAGUGCUAGGAUUACAUGUGUGAGCUGCCAUGCCUGGCUGAAAAUAAUAGAUUUAUAGCUAACCAUACUAAUAAUUGCAUUCACUCUAAAUUAUGUAAACAUCCAAUUAUAAGACAGAGAUUUCAGACUAAAUGAAAAAGCAUGACCCAACACUAUGCUGCCCACAAGAAAUUUUUUGUGUGUGUGUGAGACAGAGUCUUGCACUGUCACCCAGGCUGGAGUACAGUGGCAUGAUCUCGGCUCACUGCAACCUCCACUUCCCGGGUUCAAGCAAUUCUCUUUUCUUAGCCUCCCAAGUAGCUGGGAUUACUGGUGCCCACCACCACACCCAGCUAAUUUUUUGUAUUUUUAGUAGAGAUGAGGUUUCACUAUGUUGGCCAGGCUGGUCUCGAACACCUGACCUUGUGAUCCACCCGCUUCAGCCUCCCAAAGUGCAGGGAUUACAGGCGUGAGCCACCGCACCCGGCCAAAAUACACUUUAAAUAGAAAGACGUUCUGUACAAAAGUUAACUCAAAAUGGACCACAUCACUAAAUGCAAAACUUUAUAACAUUUCUAGAAGGAAACAUAGGAGAAAAUCUUUGUGACCCUAGAUGAUGCAAAAGUUCAUUAUAUACAAAAGUUCAUUAUGUACAAGCAUGAUCAUAAGAGAAAACCUUGAUAAAUUAGAUUCCAUCAAAAUUAAAAACUUCUGCUCUUCAACAAACAUUAUUAAGAGAAGGAAGAGAUAAGCCAAACAGUGGGAGAAAAUAUUUGCAAAUUUAAACAACUAGUAUCCAAAUAUUUUAAGAACUCUUAAAAGUCAAUAGCAAGAAAACAAACAACCCAAUUAUUUAAAAAGGGCAAAUGAUUUGAAUAAACACUUCACUAACGAAGAUAUGCAGAUGACAAACAAGUACACAAAAAGCUGCUCAACAUCCUCAAUCGUUAGAGAAAUGCAAAUGAAAACCACAAGGUCACUCUCCACCUAUUAGAGUGGUCAUCAUGGAGAAAAGAGGCAGAGUGAUUGCUUGAGGCCAGGAGUUUGAGACCAGCUUGGGCAACAUAUCGAGACACCGUCUCUACAAACAUAAAAAUUAGGGGCCGUGCGCAGUGACUCACGCCUGUAAUUCCAGCACUUUGGCAGGCUGUGGCGGGUGGAUCACCUGAGGUCAGGAGUUCGAGACCAGCCUGGCCAACAUGGUUAAACCCCGUAUCUAGUAAAAAAAAAAAUAUAUAUAUAUACAAAAAAUUAGCCAGGCAUGGUGGCGCGUGCCUGUAAUUCCAGCUAUUCGGGAGGUUGAGGCAGGAGAAUCACUUGAACCCAGGAGGUGGAGGUUGCAGUGAGUUGAAAUCCCGUCAUUGCACUCCAGCCUGGUCAACAAGAGUGAAACUCCAUCUCAAAAAAAAAAAAAAAUCUAUUAUUUUCAUGCUUUUUCCUGAUUCAUCUGGUCAUUGUUCUCUUUUUCCACCUUCUUUUGGAUGAAUCAAGUUUUUUUCUGAGCAAGGAUCUCACUCUUUUGCCCAGGCUGGAGUGCAGUGGUGUGAUCAUGGCUCACUUCUGCCUCGAACUCCUGGACAAAAGUGAGCCUCCUACCACAGCCUCUCUAGUAGCUGAGACUAUAGGCGUGUGCCCCCACACCUAGUUAAUUUUUUUUUUUUUUAAUAGAGAUGGUGUCUCAUGUGCUGCCCAGGCUGGACUCGAACUCCUGGGCUCAAGUGAUUCCUCCCGCCUUGGCCUCCCAAAGGGCUGGGAUUACAGGCGUGAGCCACUAUGCCUGGCUGGAUUAAUCAAGUAAUUUUUUUUAUGAUUCCAUUUUAUCUCUUUUGUGGGCUUAUUAGCUAUAGCUCUUUGUUUUAUUAUUUUAUUUAUUUAUUUAUUUAUUUGAGAGUUUCCCUCUUGUCACCCAGGCUGGAGAGCAGAGGCACGACCUAGGCUCACUACAACCUCUGCCUCCCGGGUUCAAGUGAUUCCCCUGCCUCACUCAGCCUCCGGAGUAGCUGGGAUUACAGGUGCUCGCCACCAUGCCCAGCUAAUUUGUUUUAAUAGAGAUAGGGUUUCACCAUGUUGGCCAGGCUGGUCUUGAACUCCUGACCUCAAGUGAUCCACCCACCUCAGCCUUCCAAAGUGCUAGGAUGACAGGUGUAAGCCACCGCGCCCAGCUAUUUUAUUUUUUUCGAGACAGAGUCUCACUCUGUCACCCAGGCUGGAAUGCAGUGGCACGAUAUCGGCUCAGUGCAACCUCUGCCUCCCGGGUUCAAGUGAUUUUCCUGCCUCAGCCUCCUGAGUAGCUGAGACUACAGGUGCCCGACACCACGCCUGACUAAUUUUUGUAUUUUUAGUAGAGAUGGGGUUUCGCCAUGUUGGCCAGGCUGGUCUCGAACUCCUGACCUAAGGUGAUCCACCCGCCUCAGCCUCCCAAAGUGCUGGGAUUACAGGCAUGAGCCACCGCGCCUCGCCUGCUUUGUUUUUUUAAUGGUCACUGUAUAGUUUAUAGUCCACAUCUUUAACUUCUCGCAGUCUACAUUCAAGUGCUACUGCACUCCACACUCCAGCGUGGGUGACAGAGCGAGACUCUGUCUCAAAAACAGACAAACAAAAAAACUAACAAAACAGGUCUACCCUGGAGUCAUACUCUAAUUUUUUCUAUUUUCCUCCCUUUCUGAUCCUUUAUCCCACUUUCUUUUUCUUCCUCUUCCUUCUCCUUCUUCUUUGUCAAAUAGAGGAUUGAGUUAUUAUCACUGAUCCAUAUAAAGUCCCUCUCUCAUUUAUUUUAAUUCCCACUCCCCAUUUCUAUUCCCCGUCUUCCCAUGUGCAACCUCCCUAAUAUGUUUGAUAUGCAUCUUUUUGUUUGUAUGUAUUUUUAGAAAAUGUUUAUUGUUUUGUGUGCGAAAAAAAUUAAUAAAAAAAAAAGCAAAAAAAAAAAAGAA